Molecule: long non-coding RNA, 298 nt
Organism: Megalobrama amblycephala (Wuchang bream)
Lineage: Eukaryota; Metazoa; Chordata; Actinopteri; Cypriniformes; Xenocyprididae
Exons: 3
Source: RefSeq, a predicted model, not a curated record
UGUUUCUGUUGAUGUGGGUGUUGUCGUAAUAGUUGUAGGUGUUGUUUCUGUUGAUGUAGGUGUUGUUGUUACAGUUGUAGGUGUUGUUUCUGUUGAUGUGGGUGUUGUCGUAAUAGUUGUAGGUGUUGUUUCUGUUGAUGUAGGUGUUGUUACUGUAACAGUUGUAGGUGUUGUUUCUGUUGAUGUGGGUGUUGUCGUAAUAGUUGUAGGUGUUGUUUCUGUUGAUGUGGAUGUUGUAAUGGUAGUAGUUGUUUCACAGUCGAUGUUGCCUUCACAACAUUUUACACGGAUUUCAUAA